Molecule: long non-coding RNA, 1826 nt
Filed under: Durio zibethinus
Lineage: Eukaryota; Viridiplantae; Streptophyta; Magnoliopsida; Malvales; Malvaceae
Description: long non-coding RNA (DZIB_LNC002066)
Source: RNAcentral
GCCUACAUAUUAAAAUCUUAACAAAGCAAUAAUAACGAAAGAAACUACCCCAAACUGAGUCAAAAAAGGCAAGCACGUGUUUGAUCAGUUUAGAUCUCAUCAAAACUUUGAGAAAAAUUCCCAAUUAAACAAAUAAAACAAUUUAAAAGCAUAUAUCAGAUUAAAAGAAGAAAAUAUACCUUUGGAUCAGAAGGUUGCAAAAUCUAAUCCUCCAUGAACAAAUUUUCAAUUGUUUUUCAUGGCUUAAGGAACAUGAACAACUUGAUCCUCAUGUUUAUAAAAUUUGAACCUGAGUCCAUGCAAAAUUACCCCAUUUUAGCACCAAAAAGAGUAAAAGAAUUAUGUAUAACAAAUGUCCCUUCUAGAAUUGGUAACAAGUAAUUAAAAGGAGUACUUAAAUGAUUGAUGAAAACAAAUCAAUUGUUAAACAGAUUGGGAAAAACUCAUCUUUAAUUCAUACAAUUUUCUAAGACUAGAUAAAUGCUUCUAGAUUUUUAUGGAUUGAUCCAAUCAAUCAUAUAGUAUAUAUAUAAACUACUAGUAUUAUUCUCCCAAGUCUUUGCGAUGAUUAAGCCUUCAUGAUCAUUUCAACGCAAUGAUUUCACCGUUUAAAGCUUCAUUGGACACAUGGUAUAAGUAUUUUCAUCCGAAAGUUACGUUUUAUGACUGGAUCCCUAGAAUGGAACUUAAAUUACGUUUUAUGAUGAUCCCUAGAAUGCAACCUAAGUUAAGAAGUGGUGAAGUAAUAUUCUUAGAUUUAGUUAAGCUUCCAUUAAUUAAUUCCCAAUUCUUUCUUUAGUUCAAUUUUUGUCUAAAAUACAAGCUUUUAUCUUAUAAUAAAACAAUUAGAGUGGUUGAGAGCAUGAGACUAGAUGGAGACUUCGGAACAGGAACCAGUAAUACAACUCUGCAUAUUAACUACUUCUCACCUAAACAUUUAUUCAUUGGCCAUACUACUCUAUCAAAGUUUAAUUAUUCAUAUCAGUCAUCAGAUGGGAUAGCACAAAACAAGCCUUGAUGUAUGGAUAUGACCUAGCCAAAAGAAAACCAAAAAAAAUCAAAGACGGCAAUUAAAAAAAAAAAUUUUCAUUGCGGACCUAGCAAUAAUAAAAGAAAGAAAGAAGAACAAGAAAACCCGUUUUUCUUUUAUGAUUUUUCUUGAAAAUUGUAUCAAUAUUGGUUAUGAUUUUCUUCUCUUUUGUAUUGUAGUUUGAAAAUAAAAAAAAAAUUAUAAAUAUUAAAAUUUAAAUUCUAAAUUAAAUAAAUAUUAUAUUUUAAGAAUGACUAUAAAUCAAUUGAGCUAAUCUUCAAAUUCGUUAUGAUUGCCUUCAUUCUCAAUAUGUAGCUAGCUAGGCUUGUCUGGCCACUAUGUUUAAUCCUUGUACGCUACUCUUAGAUGAAAUUUAAGCCAAGAAAAUAAUCAAGAAACUUAAUACUGAUUUCUUCCUCAAAACCAAUGAAAAAGUAUGCUAAAAUUUCAUGAGUUUAUCUAAAAUAACUAGGGUUUGAAUUUGAACAUAUCAACAUAUCAGCAGCAUUUAACAUGACAGAGAUGAGAAUAAGUAAAUAAGGUUCCUGUUCACACACCAUAUCGACCAGAUCAAAAUAUACCCAUCCACACCAGACACCGCCAUAAAAGCUAGCCUUACCCCAAAUGUAAAUUGGUUUUGUAUUACUUAAAAGAAGAAAGAUUCUAUUUCCAAUGACCUGAAGAAAGAAACCUUCUCCUUUGCUUGCACAUGAAAUAACAACCAUAAUUUAUUGGUUGAGUGUUGUAUUGUUAAUUUUAGUGAUUAAAUUUUAAAUCAUGAUUUCCUUAAAUAUUA